This 302-nucleotide long non-coding RNA is filed under the name Sinocyclocheilus rhinocerous. Its description in RNAcentral is "lncRNA (ENSSRHG00000023614.1)". The record is from RNAcentral. Lineage: Eukaryota; Metazoa; Chordata; Actinopteri; Cypriniformes; Cyprinidae.
CGAAAAUAAAAGGAGGAAAGUAAAAGACGCCAUUUAAACUCGCAUAUUUUGAGGUCUGAAAUGAGUCCCUACACAUUUUUUUGGCAAAUGAGAGGAGGAGGACACUAAAAUGAGCCUCCAUAAAGAGAAAGUUGAUGAUGGCACUGCCUCUAAAAUGAGUUGUAUAUCUCCUGGAUCCAGCUGUGUGCAUGUGAAGAGUGAUCAGGCCACAAUGAAACAUCCCCUUAAACUCAGUAAUGCAGUGACCUCUGACUCCAGCAAGAGAAAGAGACAGAGAUCGGAGUCUCCAGAACCCAGCGGUG